AACAAAUGAUUAUAAGGAGCCUUAGGUGAGGACACAAUGAGAAGAUGUCCUUCUGCAAACCAGAAGAGUCCCUCAUUACACUGAAUCUACCAGCACCUAUAUCCUGGACUUCCCAGAUUUUAGAACUGGCCACUCUGACCUUCCCUCCCAGGAAUUUGAAUCCCAGCCAUCAACAUAGAAGAGAAAAUGGGAGGAGAUGAAGCACACCAAUUCUGUGUCAUGGACGAAUUUCCCACCCUUUUCUGCCAACUUUCCUGGGUCCUGUCCCUUGCAAAAGCCGGUUGUUUUACUCGCUUUUUGGUUUAUGAGUUGCCUUGAAUCCUUUCAAUAAAAUCCUUUUG
This is a long non-coding RNA of Suricata suricatta (meerkat), 341 nucleotides long. RefSeq lists it as uncharacterized. The transcript has 3 exons. The record is from RefSeq and is a predicted model, not a curated record. Lineage: Eukaryota; Metazoa; Chordata; Mammalia; Carnivora; Herpestidae.